This 582-nucleotide ribosomal RNA is filed under the name Enterobacter asburiae. RNAcentral describes it as "bacterial SSU rRNA". It matches the Rfam family "Bacterial small subunit ribosomal RNA", at positions 557 to 1140 of the family's 1533-position model. Lineage: Bacteria; Pseudomonadati; Pseudomonadota; Gammaproteobacteria; Enterobacterales; Enterobacteriaceae. The record is from RNAcentral.
GGCGUAAGCGCACGCAGGCGGUCUGUCAAGUCGGAUGUGAAAUCCCCGGGCUCAACCUGGGAACUGCAUUCGAAACUGGCAGGCUAGAGUCUUGUAGAGGGGGGUAGAAUUCCAGGUGUAGCGGUGAAAUGCGUAGAGAUCUGGAGGAAUACCGGUGGCGAAGGCGGCCCCCUGGACAAAGACUGACGCUCAGGUGCGAAAGCGUGGGGAGCAAACAGGAUUAGAUACCCUGGUAGUCCACGCCGUAAACGAUGUCGACUUGGAGGUUGUGCCCUUGAGGCGUGGCUUCCGGAGCUAACGCGUUAAGUCGACCGCCUGGGGAGUACGGCCGCAAGGUUAAAACUCAAAUGAAUUGACGGGGGCCCGCACAAGCGGUGGAGCAUGUGGUUUAAUUCGAUGCAACGCGAAGAACCUUACCUACUCUUGACAUCCAGAGAACUUACCAGAGAUGCAUUGGUGCCUUCGGGAACUCUGAGACAGGUGCUGCAUGGCUGUCGUCAGCUCGUGUUGUGAAAUGUUGGGUUAAGUCCCGCAACGAGCGCAACCCUUAUCCUUUGUUGCCAGCGGUUCAGCCGGGAACUC